CGCCCACAGCUCACAGACGAGAAGGCCACAAAGUAGUCCAGCUCGGGGCAUGCCGCCCGCGUCACCCUGUGGGUGCUCGAGUCACACCCUGCUUGCUCUCCUGGCCCACCUGCCGCCAUGCCCAGGAGCCUCUGCCUGCUGCCUGGUCCCCGAGUGGCAGUGGGAACUGAGCUGGGAUGCACGCAGGACAAGAGACAGCUGCUCCCAGCACGUGCCAGGUCAGGGCCAGACUGGGCUGGGGGACGGGGACAGGGCUAAGAGGGCCGGACACCUCACCUGUCCAAGUUCACGGUACCACUGUACUUGGGCUUGUUGACGUCCUGGAAGAACUCAGGAGUCUGAUUCUCU
This is a long non-coding RNA of Lutra lutra (Eurasian river otter), 348 nucleotides long. RefSeq lists it as uncharacterized. The record is from RefSeq and is a predicted model, not a curated record. The transcript is spliced from 3 exons. Lineage: Eukaryota; Metazoa; Chordata; Mammalia; Carnivora; Mustelidae.